RNAcentral lists this ribosomal RNA (487 nucleotides) under uncultured bacterium. RNAcentral describes it as "partial 16S ribosomal RNA". It matches the Rfam family "Bacterial small subunit ribosomal RNA", at positions 29 to 508 of the family's 1533-position model. The record is from RNAcentral.
AUUGAACGCUGGCGGCAUGCCUUACACAUGCAAGUCGAACGGCAGCACGGGUGCUUGCCCCUGGUGGCGAGUGGCGAACGGGUGAGUAAUACAUCGGAACAUGUCCUGUAGUGGGGGAUAGCCCGGCGAAAGCCGGAUUAAUACCGCAUACGAUCUACGGAUGAAAGCGGGGGACCUUCGGGCCUCGCGCUAUAGGGUUGGCCGAUGGCUGUUUAGCGAGUUGUUGGGGUAAAGGCCUACCAAGGCGACGGGCGGUAACUUGUCGGAGAGGACGAACAGCCACACUGGGAAUGAGACAAGGCCCAAACUCCUACGGGAGGCAGCAGGUGGGAAAUUUGGAGAAUGGGCGAAAGGCUGAUCCAGCAAUGCCGAGGGUGGGAAGAAGGCCGUCGGGUUGGAAAGCACUUUUGUCCGGAAAGAAAUCCUUGGCUCUAAUACAGUCGGGGGAUGACGGUACCGGAAGAAUAAGCACCGGCUAACUACGUGC